This 1932-nucleotide long non-coding RNA is filed under the name Mus pahari (shrew mouse). RNAcentral describes it as "lncRNA (MGP_PahariEiJ_G0004909.1)". Lineage: Eukaryota; Metazoa; Chordata; Mammalia; Rodentia; Muridae. The record is from RNAcentral.
AAACACAGCUUGUCCUGGAGAAAUGAGUGCUCUAGCUGCCUGGACUAUAAACCCUAGAAGUAAAAGCCUAUGGAAAGCUACACCGCUACACCGAGCGGCAGCAAGAGCAAGCAAAAUCCACUUAAGGUUUUAGUAUCCGUGCUCACUGUGUGCUCUCUACCUCCAGCACUCUGCAACCUCGUUCUUCUCUCCCGGCUAAGCUUUUAGGAAGGGAAGGAUCCAGGAGGGCCAUCUAGUGAGAAGAGUAUUAUCACUGAAACUGUAGUGCUUUAGAGCAUCAGAGAAAUAUCUUAAGGACUGUGUCCAGGCCGGUUUGCUCUCUGUGUCCUCUGGGGAAAAUGCUCCAGCAGAGGCACCCCGCAUCCAGGCCUGACAGGAGAGUGCGGAGGCCCUUGUUUGCGCCACUUUAGAGAUUUGUGUGAGACUAUUUGGGGACUUUAAGGACUCCAGCGGGAGGAGAACAGGCCAAGAACUUCCAGCAGUGGAUGCAGGUGCGAUUCUGAGAAGGCAGCUGCAACUUUUCUCUUUUUAUUUCUUACAGAUUUGUGUGACCAAAGAGGCAUCGCCGGCCGCCUGGUUUCUGGGCAGUUAAAAGGCGGGGAAAACCCGGAAUGUUCUCUCACUUCUGGCUUCCGGGAAACACGGGAGGAAAUCAAGGGCAGCACCCGCCCGAGCGUGAAUCUGCAUUAGACUACCUUGCAUGGAGACUGCCCUGGGUCCAAGGGCGAAGACAUGAUCAGCACCUCUCGUCAUGUGAAGAGGCACUUGGCAUCUUGGAUUCACACCAGCCCUGGCCGUGGGGAAGGAGCCAUGUGUUGAUUGAAGCAGUCUGAAAUUGGUGAUUCGGAGUGGUGGAAAAACAAACUAGGGUCCCUGACCAGGCCCACCCGUAGCUCCAUAUGCUGUUUUCCUGCCACUCAGCCUCUGAUGGAUGAGAGAAGGUGGCUCUGGAGGAGAGGAAGGUGGGGGUGGGGGGAGGGAGAGGACUGCAGGUGCUCCAAAUUAGGAAUAAUUCGGCAGAUUAGCCUAAUGAAGUCAAAAAGUUAAUUUGUAGCUGCCAGCUGUUGAGCAGUAAGUUAUAAAGUGCCCCAGCCCCACCACAGAUCAGCGCAGGGAAUGCAAAAAGCCAGAGCCAGUCACCCAGAGGACUUGGAAGAAACACCUGCAAAGGUGUCAGCUUGAGAGGAGCUCUCAGGAGCCAGGUGGCCUCAUGGACAAAAGAGAUCUUAGAAAUAAUGACUGUUGGUGACCUGGGCUUGUGAAGGGGUGGGGAGUGGGGUGCGGGGCCCGCUGCUGUCCUUGCCUAGAGCACUGGAACUGAUCCCUAGCUUAGAAAACAGUUGUCAAUUGGUGUGAAGCUUGUAGAUUUAGCACAGAGAUAACAGGGAACAAUAGUUCUCCCCUCUCUGGGGACAAUUUACCUUUGGUACCAUCACUCUCCCUCAUCCCCCUACCCCUCUCAAUCUGUAAUUUUAACUAGCUCAUGGGGAAGAAAUAAAAGCAAAUCGUGGUUUGCCACACUGGAAGGAGAGUAUCUUCCUCCCCAGCACAGUGAUGGAUCCUGGGUCCUGUGAGCUCUUAGGGACAGUGUGGUCGCCCAUCUCUGUGUAACUCUUACUGAACGCCAUUCUGCACGCGACUGUUAUGUAUCUAGCUUUUUACUCUUAAAAAAAAAAUGGCUGGGAGAAUGAGAAGGUAGCAACUUGCACUGUGCUUCAGGAAGCACACAGGAGAAACUACAGGAUGUCGUUUCCCUGGGAAGGGUUGCUCUAACCCCACAGAUAAUACGGACACUGCAUUCAAUAGACCUCGAUGAUGCUUGCCUCGUAGGGCUGCGUUCAUGGGCCCGCAAGUGUCUGUCCUUCCAAACAUUCAGUUUCAAGUGCGGGGGGAAAUCAAACCAAACCCAUAGAUCUAAAUAAAUAUCUACUG